UUAAUAUGUAAGAAAACAUCAUUUAACCUCUCUGUUCCUCUUCCUGACCGCCGUGACCGUUCAUCCUCCUCCCAGCCAGGCCACCAAUGCGCAGCGGCGGCUUAAUACUCAUCAAAACGCACAAAUCCCACAUUCAAAGAGUGGAAGAUGCUCAAUGGAACUCAUACGCCCGCUGCCGUCGCCUCUAUGUUAAAAAGCAGGCAAUCUGCCAUCUGCCAUCCGCAUCCGCAUCAAUCAAUCAAUCAUGGUCAUGGCAGCUUGCUCGCGCCAGCACCACGGCAAGCGACCUCCACGCUGGUUGAGCUCCCGCUGGAAAACCGCUCGAUUCAAUUGGAUUCUGCCUGCUCCUAACUUGGGCCUUCCUGAAUUCUUUGGAUUUCAUUGGCUUCCCAAUUUGCUCUCUGAAGAUUUCUUUGGGUUCUUAUAGGCCAUCGCCUAACCUUGAGAUCUGACAAGGAGUGCAAUAUGUGGAACCAAAUCCUCUGUCGUGGUUAUUAUAGCACAACAUGUGCAGUUGCAAAAUCGCAGUCCUGCUUAAGUUUGGGUGGCUCUCAUCUUCUCUUUUUGUUCUCCGUUACCUGGAUCAUGCAUCAGCAUGUCUUCCCAUCGGCAUCCGAUUGAGAUCCUGCGAAGAGAGCACAAGCAGUUUAACGUUUCGGCGCUGGGAUUUUUUAUGGCCUCAUGUUGUACUAGAAACACCGGCAGCUUGAUGCAUCUGCUCGAGCGUUCUUUGUUGCCGGCCGGCUAGCGAACGAGAUGGUUGUGAUUAAUGAUUGUGGUGAUUGUGGCCACCAGCGUGCUCUAAUGCCGGCUAAAAAACAUUAUUCACCUACGAGUAAUCCUGAUUUGGACAAAGGCAACUGAGAUUGCAGUGGAUUUGAGUCUGGAAUGGAGUUGUAGGAAACUUUGGAUAUUCUCUAGAGAGGACUCA
Lolium perenne is the source of this 931-nucleotide long non-coding RNA. RefSeq lists it as uncharacterized. The record is from RefSeq and is a predicted model, not a curated record. NCBI's taxonomy places the organism in Eukaryota, Viridiplantae, Streptophyta, Magnoliopsida, Poales, Poaceae.